Pollicipes pollicipes is the source of this 627-nucleotide long non-coding RNA. RefSeq lists it as uncharacterized. Lineage: Eukaryota; Metazoa; Arthropoda; Thecostraca; Pollicipedomorpha; Pollicipedidae. The transcript is spliced from 3 exons. The record is from RefSeq and is a predicted model, not a curated record.
UUCGGACGGGGUGGGUGUAGCGCGUGUGCGGAUAGGAGGAGGACCUCACGAUCGAGGCGUUGGUGGCGAUUGGUGACAGUUGGUGAACGGUGGUGAUUGGGUGGUGUUCGGACGAUUUUCUGGGACGGCUGCGAUUAACUCAACGGACCAGGUGGUGGCCCGUGCGUGAGCGAUUUGAACUCUGAGACGGACUCUUGUGGACUCGUUUGUGCUGAUUAUUCUACCAGUGUUCUGCCUUGUUUUGGCGAUGCGGUGGAGGGGGGCUUCUUAAAACUGGAUUCUUCUCGAGAAAUGAUUGACUGGAGCUCCGGGCCGACGCAGCAGCAUCUCUCAGUCGUCACUACAGUAUGGGGCGGACCCGCCCAGCAGCAAGCCCCGCCCACCAGCACCAUGCACUUCCCGAAUAAGGCGUACCAGCAGCACGGCGCGCCGGGGCCCGCCUACCAGCGCCAGGCAUCUUACAACCCCGGCAUGGGCCAGCCGAAUGACUUAAAUGCUGCUGCGAUGGUGGCGGCGGCUGCCACGGCUACCGCGACAGCAACGGCAUCUGUCGUCGCCCUGCGGGACCGCAAUGACCAAUACGGACAGGUAGGUGACAGCACCGCUGUGCGAGCUUUUUGGGAGGGA